RNAcentral lists this ribosomal RNA (154 nucleotides) under uncultured Acinetobacter sp. RNAcentral describes it as "partial 16S ribosomal RNA". It matches the Rfam family "Bacterial small subunit ribosomal RNA", at positions 336 to 482 of the family's 1533-position model. Lineage: Bacteria; Pseudomonadati; Pseudomonadota; Gammaproteobacteria; Moraxellales; Moraxellaceae. The record is from RNAcentral.
CUCCUACGGGAGGCAGCAGUGGGGAAUAUUGGACAAUGGGCGCAAGCCUGAUCCAGCCAUGCCGCGUGUGUGAAGAAGGCCUUUUGGUUGUAAAGCACUUUAAGCGAGGAGGAGGCUACUUGGAUUAAUACUCUAGGAUAGUGACGUUACUCGC